RNAcentral lists this ribosomal RNA (253 nucleotides) under uncultured bacterium. RNAcentral's name for it is "partial 16S ribosomal RNA". It matches the Rfam family "Bacterial small subunit ribosomal RNA", at positions 524 to 776 of the family's 1533-position model. The record is from RNAcentral.
UACGAAGGGGGCUAGCGUUGUUCGGAUUUACUGGGCGUAAAGCGCACGUAGGCGGAUCUUUAAGUCAGGGGUGAAAUCCCAAGGCUCAACCUUGGAACUGCCUUUGAUACUGGGGAUCUCGAGUCCGGAAGAGGUUGGUGGAACUCCGAGUGUAGAGGUGAAAUUCGUAGAUAUUCGGAAGAACACCAGUGGCGAAGGCGGCCAACUGGUCCGGCACUGACGCUGAGGUGCGAAAGCGUGGGGAGCAAACAGG